CUGGCGUGCAAGCACCUCCCGCAGAGUGAGCUGGCAGGGACAAGGCAAGAGCCGUGGCAGCCAUCGUCGGGGUGACACGGUGCCUUCUGAGAGCCUGCUGGACCCCAUGAUGUCCACCAAUAUUUCUCCGGAGCAGCUGAAGAGCCUCCAGAGUGGUUUCCAGCUGCAGAGUAAUCAUCUGACCACGGACCUAGACAACAUGCCGCCCA
Molecule: long non-coding RNA, 209 nt
Organism: Anoplopoma fimbria (sablefish)
Lineage: Eukaryota; Metazoa; Chordata; Actinopteri; Perciformes; Anoplopomatidae
Exons: 3
Source: RefSeq, a predicted model, not a curated record